Molecule: ribosomal RNA, 253 nt
Filed under: uncultured bacterium
Lineage: Bacteria
Description: partial 16S ribosomal RNA
Rfam family: Bacterial small subunit ribosomal RNA
Source: RNAcentral
UACAGGGGGGGCAAGCGUUGUUCGGAAUUAUUGGGCGUAAAGGGCGCGUAGGCGGCUUUCUAAGUCGGGGGUGAAAUCCUGGAGCUCAACUCCAGAACUGCCUUCGAUACUGGAGAGCUCGAGUCCGGGAGAGGUGAGUGGAACUGCGAGUGUAGAGGUGAAAUUCGUAGAUAUUCGGAAGAACACCAGUGGCGAAGGCGGCCCGCUGGACAUGUAUUGACGCUGAGGUGCGAAAGCCAGGGGAGCAAACGGG